CAGCAGCCGCGGUAAUACGAAGGGGGCUAGCGUUGUUCGGAAUUACUGGGCGUAAAGCGCACGUAGGCGGAUAUUUAAGUCAGGGGUGAAAUCCCAGAGCUCAACUCUGGAACUGCCUUUGAUACUGGGUAUCUUGAGUAUGGAAGAGGUGAGUGGAAUUCCGAGUGUAGAGGUGAAAUUCGUAGAUAUUCGGAGGAACACCAGUGGCGAAGGCGGCUCACUGGUCCAUUACUGACGCUGAGGUGCGAAAGCGUGGGGAGCAAACAGGAUUAGAUACCCCCGUAGUCCCUGUCUCUUAUAC
Molecule: ribosomal RNA, 301 nt
Filed under: uncultured bacterium
Lineage: Bacteria
Description: partial 16S ribosomal RNA
Rfam family: Bacterial small subunit ribosomal RNA
Source: RNAcentral